Molecule: unclassified non-coding RNA, 297 nt
Filed under: Paraglomus occultum
Lineage: Eukaryota; Fungi; Glomeromycota; Glomeromycetes; Paraglomerales; Paraglomeraceae
Description: partial contains 5.8S ribosomal RNA and internal transcribed spacer 2
Rfam family: 5.8S ribosomal RNA (bases 1-65)
Source: RNAcentral
GUGAAUCAUCGAAUUUUUGAACGCAAAUUGCGCCUUUUUCUGAAGGCAUGUCUGUUUGAGGGCACCAUUUAACACAUAAUGUGCAGCGCUUUUUGUUGCACACGAUGAUGAGCUUCCCAAGACUCUUAACUUCUUGCUGGCGCAUCAUGAACAGCGUGAAAGUUUUUUUCAGUUCGAGAGUAGUAAAAUCUAUGCUUCGCCUGUGAACAAACAUAAUCGCGCAAUGGGCGUGGCAAUUUCUUUUUAUCCCCGCCCCAAUGCCACUCUUUCUUACGAAAGAAUGUCUAAUCUUCAGGU